This 677-nucleotide ribosomal RNA is filed under the name Staphylococcus aureus. Its description in RNAcentral is "partial 23S ribosomal RNA". It matches the Rfam family "Bacterial large subunit ribosomal RNA", at positions 884 to 1561 of the family's 2925-position model. Lineage: Bacteria; Bacillati; Bacillota; Bacilli; Caryophanales; Staphylococcaceae. The record is from RNAcentral.
AAGUGAUGAUUAUUGGAGGUAGAGCACUGUUUGGACGAGGGGCCCCUCUCGGGUUACCGAAUUCAGACAAACUCCGAAUGCCAAUUAAUUUAACUUGGGAGUCAGAACAUGGGUGAUAAGGUCCGUGUUCGAAAGGGAAACAGCCCAGACCACCAGCUAAGGUCCCAAAAUAUAUGUUAAGUGGAAAAGGAUGUGGCGUUGCCCAGACAACUAGGAUGUUGGCUUAGAAGCAGCCAUCAUUUAAAGAGUGCGUAAUAGCUCACUAGUCGAGUGACACUGCGCCGAAAAUGUACCGGGGCUAAACAUAUUACCGAAGCUGUGGAUUGUCCUUUGGACAAUGGUAGGAGAGCGUUCUAAGGGCGUUGAAGCAUGAUCGUAAGGACAUGUGGAGCGCUUAGAAGUGAGAAUGCCGGUGUGAGUAGCGAAAGACGGGUGAGAAUCCCGUCCACCGAUUGACUAAGGUUUCCAGAGGAAGGCUCGUCCGCUCUGGGUUAGUCGGGUCCUAAGCUGAGGCCGACAGGCGUAGGCGAUGGAUAACAGGUUGAUAUUCCUGUACCACCUAUAAUCGUUUUAAUCGAUGGGGGGACGCAGUAGGAUAGGCGAAGCGUGCGAUUGGAUUGCACGUCUAAGCAGUAAGGCUGAGUAUUAGGCAAAUCCGGUACUCGUUAAGGCUGAGC